GUAGGUGAACCUGCGGAGGGAUCAUUACACAAUAUGAAGGCGGGCUGGACAAACCCCCCUAGCUGGGCACUGCUUCACGGCGGUGCGCGGUUUGGGUGGCCGGCCCUGCUGAACUAUUCACCCGUGUCUUUUGCGUACCUCUUGUUUCCUGGGCGGGCUCGCCCGCCACCAGGACCAACCAUAAACCUUUUUGUAAUAGCAAUCCGCGUCAGUAAACAAUGUAAUCAAUUACAACUUUCAACAACGGAUCUCUUGGUUCUG
RNAcentral lists this unclassified non-coding RNA (261 nucleotides) under rhizosphere metagenome. RNAcentral describes it as "partial ribosomal RNA internal transcribed spacer region". The record is from RNAcentral.